GGGGAUAUGGCGACGGGUGAGUACACGUGGGCAAUCUGCCCUUCACUCUGGGACAAGCCCUGGAAACGGGGUCUAAUACCGGAUAACACUCUGUCCCGCAUGGGACGGGGUUAAAAGCUCCGGCGGUGAAGGAUGAGCCCGCGGCCUAUCAGCUUGUUGGUGGGGUAAUGGCCUACCAAGGCGACGACGGGUAGCCGGCCUGAGAGGGCGACCGGCCACACUGGGACUGAGACACGGCCCAGACUCCUACGGGAGGCAGCAGUGGGGAAUAUUGCACAAUGGGCGAAAGCCUGAUGCAGCGACGCCGCGUGAGGGAUGACGGCCUUCGGGUUGUAAACCUCUUUCAGCAGGGAAGAAGCGAAAGUGACGGUACCUGCAGAAGAAGCGCCGGCUAACUACGUGCCAGCAGCCGGGGGUAAUACG
RNAcentral lists this ribosomal RNA (423 nucleotides) under Streptomyces sp. MBT24. RNAcentral's name for it is "bacterial SSU rRNA". It matches the Rfam family "Bacterial small subunit ribosomal RNA", at positions 89 to 527 of the family's 1533-position model. The record is from RNAcentral. Lineage: Bacteria; Bacillati; Actinomycetota; Actinomycetes; Kitasatosporales; Streptomycetaceae.